AGUGAACGCUGGCGGUAGGCCUAACACAUGCGAGUCGAACGGCAGCACAGUAAGAGCUUGCUCUUACGGGUGGCGAGUGGCGGACGGGUGAGGAAUACAUCGGAAUCUACUUUUUCGUGGGGGAUAGCGUAGGGAAACUUACGCUAAUACCGCAUACGACCUACGGGUGAAAGCAGGGGAUCUUCGGACCUUGCGCGAUUGAAUGAGCCGAUGUCGGAUUAGCUAGUUGGCGGGGUAAAGGCCCACCAAGGCGACGAUCCGUAGCUGGUCUGAGAGGAUGAUCAGCCACACUGGAACUGAGACACGGUCCAGACUCCUACGGGAGGCAGCAGUGGGGAAUAUUGGACAAUGGGCGCAAGCCUGAUCCAGCCAUACCGCGUGGGUGAAGAAGGCCUUCGGGUUGUAAAGCCCUUUUGUUGGGAAAGAAAAGCAGCAGGUUAAUACCCCGCUGUUCCGACGGUACCCAAAGAAUAAGCACCGGCUAACUUCGUG
This 492-nucleotide ribosomal RNA is filed under the name uncultured bacterium. RNAcentral's name for it is "partial 16S ribosomal RNA". It matches the Rfam family "Bacterial small subunit ribosomal RNA", at positions 29 to 507 of the family's 1533-position model. The record is from RNAcentral.